CCUACGGGGGGCUGCAGUGGGGAAUAUUGGACAAUGGGGGCAACCCUGAUCCAGCCAUGCCGCGUGUGUGAAGAAGGCUCUCGGGUUGUAAAGCACUUUCAGUGAGGAAGAACGCCUGGUGGUUAAUACCCAUCAGGAAAGACAUCACUCACAGAAGAAGCACCGGCUAACUCCGUGCCAGCAGCCGCGGUAAUACGGAGGGUGCGAGCGUUAAUCGGAAUUACUGGGCGUAAAGCGCGCGUAGGUGGCUUGAUAAGCCGGUUGUGAAAGCCCCGGGCUCAACCUGGGAACGGCAUCCGGAACUGUCAAGCUAGAGUGCAGGAGAGGAAGGUAGAAUUCCCGGUGUAGCGGUGAAAUGCGUAGAGAUCGGGAGGAAUACCAGUGGCGAAGGCGGCCUUCUGGACUGACACUGACACUGAGGUGCGAAAGCGUGGGUAGCAAACAGGAUUAGAUACCCCAGUAGUC
This 465-nucleotide ribosomal RNA is filed under the name Vreelandella stevensii. RNAcentral describes it as "partial 16S ribosomal RNA". It matches the Rfam family "Bacterial small subunit ribosomal RNA", at positions 338 to 795 of the family's 1533-position model. The record is from RNAcentral. Lineage: Bacteria; Pseudomonadati; Pseudomonadota; Gammaproteobacteria; Oceanospirillales; Halomonadaceae.